UUACCUAGGGGUGCCCAAAAGGCUGAGAGAUGGAAACAUUAACCCUUAUACCUGAUCUGGAUAAUACCAGCGUAGGAAAGAGUAGAG
This 87-nucleotide non-coding RNA is filed under the name uncultured Terrisporobacter sp. Its description in RNAcentral is "TPP riboswitch (THI element)". The stretch from base 5 to 80 matches the Rfam family "TPP riboswitch aptamer (THI element)", at positions 9 to 90 of the family's 105-position model. Rfam says of the family: Vitamin B(1) in its active form thiamin pyrophosphate (TPP) is an essential coenzyme that is synthesised by coupling of pyrimidine and thiazole moieties in bacteria. The previously detected thiamin-regulatory element, thi box was extended, resulting in a new, highly conserved RNA secondary structure, the THI element, which is widely distributed in eubacteria and also occurs in some archaea. The record is from RNAcentral. Lineage: Bacteria; Bacillati; Bacillota; Clostridia; Peptostreptococcales; Peptostreptococcaceae.